UGCCGCGUGCAGGAUGAAGGCCUUCGGGUUGUAAACUGCUUUUGUACGGAACGAAACGGUGAGCUCUAAUACAGCUUGCUAAUGACGGUACCGUAAGAAUAAGCACCGGCUAACUACGUGCCAGCAGCCGCGGUAAUACGUAGGGUGCGAGCGUUAAUCGGAAUUACUGGGCGUAAAGCGUGCGCAGGCGGUGAUGUAAGACAGAUGUGAAAUCCCCGGGCUCAACCUGGGACCUGCAUUUGUGACUGCAUCGCUUGAGUACGGUAGAGGGGGAUGGAAUUCCGCGUGUAGCAGUGAAAUGCGUAAAUAUGCGGAGGAACACCGAUGGCGAAGGCAAUCCCCUGGACCUGUACUGACGCUCAUGCACGAAAGCGUGGGGAGCAAACAGGAUUAAAUACCCUGGUAGUCCACGCCCUAAACGAUGUCAACUGGUUGUUGGGUCUUCACUGACUCAGUAACNAAGCUAACG
This 469-nucleotide ribosomal RNA is filed under the name Comamonadaceae bacterium. Its description in RNAcentral is "bacterial SSU rRNA". It matches the Rfam family "Bacterial small subunit ribosomal RNA", at positions 395 to 857 of the family's 1533-position model. The record is from RNAcentral. Lineage: Bacteria; Pseudomonadati; Pseudomonadota; Betaproteobacteria; Burkholderiales; Comamonadaceae.